Molecule: long non-coding RNA, 475 nt
Organism: Herpailurus yagouaroundi (jaguarundi)
Lineage: Eukaryota; Metazoa; Chordata; Mammalia; Carnivora; Felidae
Exons: 4
Source: RefSeq, a predicted model, not a curated record
GGCAAGAGACAGAAGGCGGGUUCAAACCAGCUUAAAAUAGUUUAUUGGCUAAGAAGUGAAAUGGAAUCCAAAGGAGUAGCCGGACUUGGGCAGAGCUACGUCCAGAAGUGGUUCAAACGCUAUUGUUGGGGACCUCUCUCUCUCUCCACCUUACAAAGAGUGAAUCCACUGGGGCACCUGGGUGGCUCAGUCGGAAAAGAAUGCACCAUGAGAUGGACCAGAGCUAUCAGUCCCAUAAAGGCAGGAAUCAACACUAACUCAGACCUGUAACCAACAGCCUGUGAUCAAGCUGGAAUCCAUUCUUAAGAGACUUGAUCUUCAAUCACUGGGCGUCUCAGAACUGGCUCCAGCUUGGAACUUGGGCAACUGAUCAUGAGUUUCAACUGGGACCUCAGGUGACUGGAAACUCUGUGACAGCCUGUGGGUUCACCCUGGACACCUGGCACUCAGAAGAUAGUGGAUGUUUAUUGAAGGA